This 491-nucleotide ribosomal RNA is filed under the name uncultured bacterium. Its description in RNAcentral is "partial 16S ribosomal RNA". It matches the Rfam family "Bacterial small subunit ribosomal RNA", at positions 29 to 506 of the family's 1533-position model. The record is from RNAcentral.
AGUGAACGCUGGCGGUAGGCCUAACACAUGCAAGUCGAACGGCAGCACAGUAAGAGCUUGCUCUUACGGGUGGCGAGUGGCGGACGGGUGAGGAAUACAUCGGAAUCUACUUUUUCGUGGGGGAUAACGUAGGGAAACUUACGCUAAUACCGCAUACGACCUACGGGUGAAAGCAGGGGAUCUUCGGACCUUGCGCGAUUGAAUGAGCCGAUGUCGGAUUAGCUAGUUGGCGGGGUAAAGGCCCACCAAGGCGACGACCCGUAGCUGGUCUGAGAGGAUGAUCAGCCACACUGGAACUGAGACACGGUCCAGACUCCUACGGGAGGCAGCAGUGGGGAAUAUUGGACAAUGGGCGCAAGCCUGAUCCAGCCAUACCGCGUGGGCGAAGAAGGCCUUCGGGUUGUAAAGCCCUUUUGUUGGGAAAGAAAAGCAGCAGGUUAAUACCCCGCUGUUCUGACGGUACCCAAAGAAUAAGCACCGGCUAACUUCGU